Molecule: ribosomal RNA, 253 nt
Filed under: uncultured bacterium
Lineage: Bacteria
Description: partial 16S ribosomal RNA
Rfam family: Bacterial small subunit ribosomal RNA
Source: RNAcentral
UACGUAGGGAGCAAGCGUUGUCCGGAAUCACUGGGCGUAAAGGGAGCGUAGGCGGGUUCUUAAGUUAGGUGUUUAAUCCCGGGGCCCAACCCCGGACCGGCACUUAAAACUGGGAAUCUUGAAUAGUGGAGAGGUCGGUGGAAUUGGAGGUGUAGCGGUGGAAUGCGUAGAGAUCUCCAAGAACACCAGUUGCGAAGGCGGCCGACUGGACACAUAUUGACGCUGAGGCUCGAAAGCAUGGGGAGCAAACAGG